CAUGGACGGACAUCCUUGGUGGCCUGAUCGCUUUUGGAAUAACUCUUGCUGCUGCCCUUUGGGAGAAACUUGGCAGUUUUCGAUUCUCAGGCUCCAGGAGCGGGCGAGGAGUGGGAGAGGCAGGGCGAAGACGAGAGUAAGAGAGAGAGGUUGCGAGCAGGGGAGGGGCAGAGGGAGAAGGAGUGAGAGAAAAACCGAAGCAGGCUCCAUGCCCAGCACGGGUCGGACUGGGGCUCCAUCUCACCACCCUGAGAUCAUGACCUGACCCCAUCGAAGCCUCACCCAACUAAGCCGCCCAGGUGCACCUCUAAUAAGGAAUUUUUAAAAAUCA
Molecule: long non-coding RNA, 331 nt
Organism: Lutra lutra (Eurasian river otter)
Lineage: Eukaryota; Metazoa; Chordata; Mammalia; Carnivora; Mustelidae
Exons: 2
Source: RefSeq, a predicted model, not a curated record